AGUGGUACUAAUUAGAAGGAAAAAGAUGAAAAAAAAAAAAACUGUUUUAUGUUUCACUAUAAAUUCCCUUUUGAGUUAUAAUAUUGGAAAAAAGAAAUGUAUUUCUUGUUGGGUUGAUUCAAUGAAGACCAUCUGAGUGGAAAUUCUAUCUGAAGAACAAAGCAAGAAAAGUGGACAAAAAGCUUUUCUUCCUUUUUUUUUCCUUUUAUCUAAGCAUAUUUAUUAUCAGAGAACUGUUUACUUUUUUAUGUAUGGAUUUAUAAAACUGAAUGGCAACUGUUUCAUUUUUUUACUCUUCGGAUUGAAGAAUACUACACGCCGAUUCUUGAGGGGAAAAAAAAAUAUAUAUAGGCCUAUAUAUAUAUCUAUUUUUCUGUAAUAAACGUAACAGUAAUAACUCGCAAGUAAUGCAAAGAAAAAAAAAGUCAGUCUUUAUGAUUUAUUUAUUAGUUUGGCGAAAUUUAAUCAAAACGAGAUUAGUCAUCGGUUAUAGCAUUUUUUUUUUGCUAGAUAUAUAUAUAUAUAUUGUAUAGCUUUCUACAAGAGUACGUUCAUCCAUCAUCUGCCAUUCUUUUUCCUCGCAAUUCAAAGUCACUUCCGGACCAGACGUAAACACUCGAAAAAUGUUAUUAUCACCAUCUGUCGAGCGAUGGCUGUGUCACUAGAUUGUCGCCAAACACGAAUUUGUCGCAGCUGGUUGCUCUUGUUUAAAAACUACGCUUCCCAAAAGAAUUAUAUUAUUAUUAUUAUUAUUAUUAUUAAAGAAUUGUUUAUCUCUUCCAUCCCUUUUUCGAUUUUCUUUUAACCGUUUUAAAUCGACAGAACGGAGAAAAUAACAUACAUUUAUAAUGACAUCUAUCUAAUUAGAAAACUCGCAGAAAGUUUGUGGUGAAUAUUGAAAAAGAAGAAUUGUUAGUAUUUUCGAGGUAGGAAAACUUCUCUCGACUGUUAUUACGUUCAAUCCUACGAAUUAUGGCAAAGAUGGUGUGCCAAUAUUUGUUGUUGUCUCUGUCUCUCUCUUGUAGCAAAUAAGAAGAGCAUAAGGUCGUCACCUUUAACGUCCAGACAGUUUACAACCCAUGGUCACACACACAGCUAGCUGUCUGUUCCAUAUCCGUUUCCUUCAAAGUAAACGGUAAAAUGUAGUAAAUUAUAAACGCGUUUAUAUUCAUUACCUUCACGCGUGAUAACUUCCAUAGUAAUUAUUAAAAUAUAUUUUGACCGAAAUUUCAAAUUUAGAUUAUUCCAUAACAAGCUAAUAAGUUUAGUCAGUGGAAUGUUUAAAGAUGGAGAGGAACUAUUAAAGUGCUUUGAAUUUUAUAGUAUCAAUAAACAUUAGCCGCUUAUCUAAACCCAAUACGAACUGCUGUUUAGAAUGCUAUUGAGUGAGAGAACACUCGUGUUGACAUACGCAUCGAACAUCUAUUUGGUUUACGCUCUCUACAAUAUUGCACAUCCCUUCCGGAUACAAACACGUCAAUCAAAAUCCAAACGAUGGUCGAGCCGUUUUCGGCCGGUUCUCUCUCUCUCUCUCAUAAUUUUCCAAAUUCAUUUAAAGAGUUUAAUCGAAAAAUCGCAUUUUAUUGGCAUUCUUGUACGAAAAUUGGAAAAAGUUUCUGUCACAAUUCUCCAAACUGUCAUUUGUCAUUGAAGAUUUUGUGUGGGGAGAGACGAAGUGUUCUUCUACUCUCUCUCUCUCUCUCUUUUUUCCUUUUUUUUUUUUUUUUUUUUUUAAAAUAUAGGGAUUUGGUUAGCAUAUAUAAUUCAUAAUUGA
RNAcentral lists this long non-coding RNA (1774 nucleotides) under Androctonus crassicauda. The record is from RNAcentral. Lineage: Eukaryota; Metazoa; Arthropoda; Arachnida; Scorpiones; Buthidae.